CGGGACGUGGCGCAGCCUGGUAGCGCGCUGGCAUGGGGGGCCAGAGGUCACCGGUUCGAUUCCGGUCGUCCCGACCA
Molecule: transfer RNA, 77 nt
Filed under: Candidatus Acetothermia bacterium
Lineage: Bacteria; Candidatus Bipolaricaulota
Also listed under: 1 other name
Description: tRNA-Pro
Rfam family: tRNA
About the family: Transfer RNA (tRNA) molecules are approximately 80 nucleotides in length. Their secondary structure includes four short double-helical elements and three loops (D, anti-codon, and T loops).
Source: RNAcentral